This 253-nucleotide ribosomal RNA is filed under the name uncultured bacterium. RNAcentral describes it as "partial 16S ribosomal RNA". It matches the Rfam family "Bacterial small subunit ribosomal RNA", at positions 524 to 776 of the family's 1533-position model. The record is from RNAcentral.
UACGAAGGGGGCUAGCGUUGCUCGGAAUCAUUGGGCGUAAAGGGUGCGUAGGCGGCGCGGUAAGUCGGGUGUGAAAUCUCGGAGCUUAACUCCGAAACUGCAUUCGAUACUGCCGUGCUUGAGGACUGGAGAGGAGACUGGAAUUUACGGUGUAGCGGUGAAAUGCGCAGAUAUCAGGAGGAACACCGGUGGCGAAGGCGGGUCUCUGGGCCGAUACUGACGCUGAGGAGCGAAAGCGUGGGGAGCGAACAGG